Ictidomys tridecemlineatus (thirteen-lined ground squirrel) is the source of this 919-nucleotide long non-coding RNA. RefSeq lists it as uncharacterized. Lineage: Eukaryota; Metazoa; Chordata; Mammalia; Rodentia; Sciuridae. The record is from RefSeq and is a predicted model, not a curated record.
GCCCCUCGCAGCGUAGGAGCGCUCCCCAGGGGCUGUGGGUGGGAUGCUGCGCGCGACAGGCCCCGUCUCGUGUGGGACGUUGACAGCGAGCAGCUGUGGCUUGCAAGCACGGUCUUCUCAUCCCCGCAGACUUCCCGUCUCAUGGCUGUGAGCCCUCCGAGGGGAAAUGCCCGGAGGCUGCAUUAAUUGGGACCGUUGUGUUGCAACAGAGAUUGCUUCAGUUUACUUCCAGUAACCGGCGAUGCUGGGUCCACGCUGCCCUGCUUCAUGAGGAGAAAUGGAAUAUCAGUCCUGGAAAAGCCCGGAAAGAGUUCCCAAGAACCGCCAGUAACUGGGACCGCUGACCUCAGGGAGACCAGCCCGAAAAUACGAGCUUCUAGACCCCCUCGAGCUCCCGGAGUCAGCGGAUCUUCAGCUACUGCGUGCUCUCUCUUAUCAUCCCGUCAUUAAGUGGCCGGCUUGCUAUCCAGAUCAUAGUCCUAAGGAGGAAAAUCCAGUUUGCUUAGCUGAUCUCUGUGUACAAGCACUGUGUUCAACGGUCCUUUCUCUAAUAGAGUGCCAUAACUUUUAGCUAGACUAAGCGUCCUCAGGGUGAUCCUGAAACUGGAGUUCUCUACUUCUCCUGGCACAUGGGGUCUGUUUACGCCGCAGGUCUCUGCAGCUGAGAAACAUGUUGCCGCUCUGAAUGGCAGGCUACAUCCUCCAGUGUUGCAGCAGACCCCAGCAGCUCACCACCAGUUUCCUCUUUUGGCGUUCUUGUCUCAUGAAUUCAAAGAAUGAAAUCCACAAGGGUAAACAUAUUGAUCAGCAGCAGCUCCAGAAAACACAUUUUAUCUACUAAUCCUAUAUCUCUCCCAACACCUGGCUCCUCACCAACCAGGUAAGACCUCUCUUGACUCUUUGCAAACCUUUUUUUGCU